This 85-nucleotide transfer RNA is filed under the name Candidatus Helarchaeota archaeon. RNAcentral's name for it is "tRNA-Ser". It matches the Rfam family "tRNA". Rfam says of the family: Transfer RNA (tRNA) molecules are approximately 80 nucleotides in length. RNAcentral also lists the same sequence under 1 other name. The record is from RNAcentral. Lineage: Archaea; Promethearchaeati; Candidatus Helarchaeota.
GCCGGGGUAGCCAAGCGGAUUACGGCGCAGGCCUUGAGAGUCUGUGACUCUUUGAGUCGCGGGGGUUCGAAUCCCUCUCCCGGCG